This is a long non-coding RNA of Girardinichthys multiradiatus, 508 nucleotides long. RefSeq lists it as uncharacterized. The record is from RefSeq and is a predicted model, not a curated record. Lineage: Eukaryota; Metazoa; Chordata; Actinopteri; Cyprinodontiformes; Goodeidae. The transcript has 3 exons.
CCACCUGUGCAUGGAGCGUUGGAGGCCUGAGUGCUGCAGGUGUGCUACUGCACACCUGUUAGGAAUCAAGCUCCUUUGGAGGGGUAUAUGAGGAGCUAGCUGCCAGUUCUUCGUCGCUUGACUGUUAACCUAUAGUGGUUUCCCUGUGCUGACUUCAGGCUUACACUGUAGUAUUCCUGGACCUCAAGCCACCUACCUCCUAACAAGGUUUCCUGAAAAAUGUCCUCCACAACUGGCAACCUCAAGGUUCCUUAUUUCCCUCUCCUCUGUGCAACCUGUUUGCCCUCUGGCACUCAAGUCAAGAUCCUCCAACAUCUCCUCUUUCUCCACCCUUCAUAUCCAUCUCACACACACUAUUGGACCUAAGCCCCGGAUUCUGCUCAUUCCCCUGGCGUCAUCAUCUGCACUCACCAUGAUGCUGCAGUCCAUUUCCCCUGUGAAGAACCCGGUCAGGACCAGAUCAUUGUAACCAUUUAUUCAUUGUAUGCAAUAAACCUUUUAAAAUCUU